This 336-nucleotide unclassified non-coding RNA is filed under the name soil metagenome. RNAcentral describes it as "partial contains 5.8S ribosomal RNA, internal transcribed spacer 2, and large subunit ribosomal RNA". The stretch from base 1 to 120 matches the Rfam family "5.8S ribosomal RNA", at positions 35 to 154 of the family's 154-position model. The record is from RNAcentral.
GAUGAAGAACGCAGCGAAAUGCGAUAAGUAAUGUGAAUUGCAGAAUUCAGUGAAUCAUCGAAUCUUUGAACGCACAAUGCGCCCGCCAGUAUUCUGGCGGGCAUGCCUGUUCGAGCGUCAUUUCAACCAUCAAGCCCCCGGCUUGUGUUGGGGACCUGCGGCUGCCGCAGGCCCUGAAAAGCAGUGGCGGGCUCGCUGUCACACCGAGCGUAGUAGCAUACAUCUCGCUCUGGGCGUGCUGCGGGUUCCGGCCGUUAAACCACCUUCAUAACCCAAGGUUGACCUCGGAUCAGGUAGGAAGACCCGCUGAACUUAAGCAUAUCAAUAAGCGGAGGA